GAUGAACGCUAGCGGCAGGCCUAAUACAUGCAAGUCGAACGGUAACAUUCUCGCUUGCGAGAGAUGACGAGUGGCGCACGGGUGCGUAACGCGUAUGCAACCUACCCUUAACAGGGGGAUAGCCCGGAGAAAUCCGGAUUAAUACCCCAUAGUAUCACAUGAUGGCAUCAGAAAGUGAUUAAAGAUUUAUCGGUUAAGGAUGGGCAUGCGUGACAUUAGCUAGUUGGUGAGGUAAUAGCUCACCAAGGCAACGAUGUCUAGGGGGUCUGAGAGGAUGAUCCCCCACACUGGUACUGAGAUACGGACCAGACUCCUACGGGAGGCAGCAGUAGGGAAUAUUGGUCAAUGGGCGAGAGCCUGAACCAGCCAUGCCGCGUGCAGGAAGACGGCCUUCUGGGUUGUAAACUGCUUUUAUAUAGGAACAAAUAGCCCAUGCGUGGGAAGUUGAGUGUACUAUAUGAAUAAGCACCGGCUAACUCCGUGCCAGCCGCCGCCGUAACAC
This 502-nucleotide ribosomal RNA is filed under the name uncultured bacterium. RNAcentral describes it as "bacterial SSU rRNA". It matches the Rfam family "Bacterial small subunit ribosomal RNA", at positions 28 to 526 of the family's 1533-position model. The record is from RNAcentral.